This 370-nucleotide ribosomal RNA is filed under the name uncultured bacterium. RNAcentral's name for it is "bacterial SSU rRNA". It matches the Rfam family "Bacterial small subunit ribosomal RNA", at positions 1077 to 1447 of the family's 1533-position model. The record is from RNAcentral.
GGGUUAAGUCCCGCAACGAGCCCAACCCUUUUCCUUUGUUGCCAGCGCGUCAUGGCGGGAACUCAAAGGAGACUGCCGGUGAUAAACCGGAGGAAGGGGGGGAUGACGUCAAGUCAUCAUGGCCCUUACGAGUAGGGCUACACACGUGCUACAAUGGCGUAUACAAAGAGAAGCGAACUCGCGAGAGCCAGCGGACCUCAUAAAGUACGUCGUAGUCCGGAUCGGAGUCUGCAACUCGACUCCGUGAAGUCGGAAUCGCUAGUAAUCGUAGAUCAGAAUGCUACGGUGAAUACGUUCCCGGGCCUUGUACACCCCGAACGGGACACCAUGGGAGUGGGUGCAAAAGAAGUAGGUAGCUUAACCUUCGGGA